RNAcentral lists this transfer RNA (77 nucleotides) under Ammonifex thiophilus. RNAcentral describes it as "tRNA-Trp". It matches the Rfam family "tRNA". From Rfam's summary of the family: Transfer RNA (tRNA) molecules are approximately 80 nucleotides in length. Their secondary structure includes four short double-helical elements and three loops (D, anti-codon, and T loops). The record is from RNAcentral. Lineage: Bacteria; Bacillati; Bacillota; Clostridia; Thermoanaerobacterales; Thermoanaerobacteraceae.
GGGGGAGUAGCUCAACGGCAGAGCGCGGGACUCCAGAUCCCGGCUUGUGCGGGGUUCAAGUCCUGCCUCCCCCGCCA